GAUGAAGAACGCAGCGAAAUGCGAUAAGUAGUGUGAAUUGCAGAAUUCAGUGAAUCAUCGAAUCUUUGAACGCACAUUGCGCCACUUGGUAGUCCAUGGGGCAUGCCUGUUCGAGCGUCAUUUGUACCUUCAAGCUCUGCUUGGUGUUGGGUGUUUGUCUCGCCUCUGCGUGUAGACUCGCCUCAAAACAAUUGGCAGCCGGCGUAUUGAUUUCGGAGCGCAGUACAUCUCGCGCUUUGCACUCAUAACGACGACGUCCAAAAGUACAUUUUUACACUCUUGACCUCGGAUCAGGUAGGGAUACCCGCUGAACUUAAGCAUAUCAAUAAGCGGAGGA
Molecule: unclassified non-coding RNA, 337 nt
Filed under: soil metagenome
Description: partial contains 5.8S ribosomal RNA, internal transcribed spacer 2, and large subunit ribosomal RNA
Rfam family: 5.8S ribosomal RNA (bases 1-120)
Source: RNAcentral